This 619-nucleotide long non-coding RNA is filed under the name Homo sapiens (human). RNAcentral's name for it is "HSALNT0301534". The record is from RNAcentral. Lineage: Eukaryota; Metazoa; Chordata; Mammalia; Primates; Hominidae.
GCUGGCACUGAUUGGGUCACACCUGAAACUUAUGACCUUCCAGAUGAACACAGUACUGGGACUUGCCCAAGACCCACAGCCACUACUUCCUGCCUGCCUGCUGCUGCUGUUUAUUCAAGACCAAAGAAGGGCACUUUAGAUCAAUAAAUGUCCACAGGACAAAAGCAGUGCCAACUGUGGGGCUCACCUUCCUGGAUUCCUGUCUUCUUCCUAGAUCUUGGUCCGAUGAAUUAUGUAUCUGAAAUGGCUGGCAACCUCAGCUGCAGGACACUUUGAGGAGACGGCUGAUUGCAGAUCUAGGGCAGAGAAUGAAUAAGGUCAUUCUUCCUGCUUUGAUCAAGCAAUCAUCAUGUCCCUUUAGACACACCCAGGAUUAAUACUUUGUAUCCCUCAAUCCAAUCAAGUUGACAGUCAGUAUUAACCAUCGCAGGAGGAGAGCAUGAGCUACCUUCCAGACCUGCUUCUCCAAGAACACAGUGAACUUGGCCCGGCAGAGCUGUGGUUUGUGUCCACCCCCAUAGCUUAUGUCCUUUGAUGUUCCGCCUGACUAAUGGCCUGUCCAUUCUCCUUCAGGACACAUAAGAGAGGAUCUUACUCUGUUGCCCAGGCUGGAGUGUAG